Ribosomal RNA from Prolemur simus (greater bamboo lemur), 109 nucleotides. Lineage: Eukaryota; Metazoa; Chordata; Mammalia; Primates; Lemuridae. The record is from Ensembl.
GUCUACAGCCACACCACCCUGAAUGCACCUGAUCUCAUCUGAUCUCGGAAGCUAAGCAGGGUUGGGCCUGGUUAGUACUUGGAUGGAAGAAGUCCAGGAGUGGUACAGA